Molecule: ribosomal RNA, 492 nt
Filed under: uncultured bacterium
Lineage: Bacteria
Description: partial 16S ribosomal RNA
Rfam family: Bacterial small subunit ribosomal RNA
Source: RNAcentral
AGUGAACGCUGGCGGUAGGCCUAACACAUGCAAGUCGAGCGGCAGCACCGUAAGAGCUUGCUCUUACGGGUGGCGAGUGGCGGACGGGUGCGGAAUACAUCGGAAUCUACUUUUACGUGGGGGAUAACGUCGGGAAACUUACGCUAAUACCGCAUACGACCUCCGGGUGAAAGCAGGGGAUCUUCGGACCUUGCGCGAUUGAAUGAGCCGAUGUCGGAUUAGCUAGUUGGCGGGGUAGAGGCACACCAAGGCGACGAUCCGUAGGUGGUCUGAGAGGAUGAUCAGCCACACUGGAACUGAGACACGGUACAGACUCCGACGGGAGGCAGCAGUGGGGAAUAUUGGACAAUGGGCGCAAGCCGGAUCCAGCCAUACCGCGGGAGGGAAGAAGGCCUUCGGGUGGUAAAGCCCUUUUGUUGGGAAAGAAAAGAAGCAGGUUAAUACCCCGCUGUUCUGACGGUACCCAAAGAAUAAGCACCGGCUAACUUCGUG